AAUCAGGUAGGACUACCCGCUGAACUUAA
RNAcentral lists this ribosomal RNA (29 nucleotides) under Beauveria bassiana. Its description in RNAcentral is "partial 28S ribosomal RNA". The record is from RNAcentral. Lineage: Eukaryota; Fungi; Ascomycota; Sordariomycetes; Hypocreales; Cordycipitaceae. RNAcentral also lists the same sequence under 1 other name.